GGCCGGUUAGCUCAGUCGGUUAGAGCUUGGUGCUGAUAACACCAAGGUCGCGGGUUCGAUUCCGGUUCUGUCCC
This 74-nucleotide transfer RNA is filed under the name Apaloderma vittatum (bar-tailed trogon). It matches the Rfam family "tRNA". Rfam says of the family: Transfer RNA (tRNA) molecules are approximately 80 nucleotides in length. Their secondary structure includes four short double-helical elements and three loops (D, anti-codon, and T loops). Lineage: Eukaryota; Metazoa; Chordata; Aves; Trogoniformes; Trogonidae. The record is from Rfam by way of RNAcentral.